This 74-nucleotide transfer RNA is filed under the name Bacteroidota bacterium. RNAcentral describes it as "Bacteroidetes bacterium tRNA-Arg". It matches the Rfam family "tRNA". Rfam says of the family: Transfer RNA (tRNA) molecules are approximately 80 nucleotides in length. Lineage: Bacteria; Pseudomonadati; Bacteroidota. RNAcentral also lists the same sequence under 2 other names. The record is from RNAcentral.
GCACCUGUAGCUCAACUGGAUAGAGCAUCGGUUUUCUAAACCGACGGUUUCGUGUUCGAGUCACGACAGGUGUA